CAGCCGCCGCGGUAAUACGUAGGGUGCAAGCGUUAAUCGGAAUUACUGGGCGUAAAGCGUGCGCAGGCGGUUUGUUAAGACAGAUGUGAAAUCCCCGGGCUCAACCUGGGAACUGCAUUUGUGACUGUCAAGCUAGAGUAUGGCAGAGGGGGGUGGAAUUCCGCGUGUAGCAGUGAAAUGCGUAGAUAUGCGGAGGAACACCGAUGGCGAAGGCAGCCCCCUGAGCCAAUACUGACGCUCAUGCACGAAAGCGUGGGGAGCGAACAGGAUUAGAUACCCCAGUAGUCCCUGUCUCUUAUAA
This 301-nucleotide ribosomal RNA is filed under the name uncultured bacterium. RNAcentral describes it as "partial 16S ribosomal RNA". It matches the Rfam family "Bacterial small subunit ribosomal RNA", at positions 509 to 809 of the family's 1533-position model. The record is from RNAcentral.